CCGUCUAAUACCGGAUACGACCCGCCACCUCAUGGUGGAGGGUGGAAAGUUUUAUCGGUCAGGGAUGGGCUCGCGGCCUAUCAGCUUGUUGGUGGGGUAACGGCCUACCAAGGCGAUUACGGGUAGCCGGCCUGAGAGGGCGACCGGCCACACUGGGACUGAGACACGGCCCAGACUCCUGCGGGAGGCAGCAGUGGGGAAUAUUGCACAAUGGGCGAAAGCCUGAUGCAGCGACGCCGCGUGGGGGAUGACGGCCUUCGGGUUGUAAACCUCUUUUACCACCAACGCAGGCUCCACGUUCUCGUGGGGUUGACGGUAGGUGGGGAAUAAGGACCGGCUAACUACGUGCCAGCAGCCGCGGUAAUACGUAGGGUCCGAGCGUUGUCCGGAAUUAUUGGGCGUAAAGAGCUCGUAGGCGGCAUGUCGCGUCUGCUGUGAAAGACCGGGGCUUAACUCCGGUUCUGCAGUGGAUACGGGCAUGCUAGAGGUAGGUAGGGGAAACUGGAAUUCCUGGUGUAGCGGUGAAAUGCGCAGAUAUCAGGAGGAACACCGGUGGCGAAGGCGGGUUUCUGGGCCUUACCUGACGCUGAGGAGCGAAAGCAUGGGGAGC
RNAcentral lists this ribosomal RNA (610 nucleotides) under Nocardiopsis prasina. Its description in RNAcentral is "bacterial SSU rRNA". It matches the Rfam family "Bacterial small subunit ribosomal RNA", at positions 159 to 769 of the family's 1533-position model. Lineage: Bacteria; Bacillati; Actinomycetota; Actinomycetes; Streptosporangiales; Nocardiopsidaceae. The record is from RNAcentral.